GUGGGGAAUAUUGGACAAUGGGCGAAAGCCUGAUCCAGCCAUGCCGCGUGUGUGAAGAAGGUCUUCGGAUUGUAAAGCACUUUAAGUUGGGAGGAAGGGCAGUAAGUUAAUACCUUGCUGUUUUGAUGUUACCGACAGAAUAAGCACCGGCUAACUUCGUGCCAGCAGCCGCGGUAAUACGACGGGUGCAAGCGUUAAUCGGAAUUACUGGGCGUAAAGCGCGCGUAGGUGGUUUUGUAAGUUGGAGGUGAAAUCCCCGGGCUCAACCUGGGAACUGCCUCCAAAACUGCAUGACUAGAGUACGGUAGAGGGUAGUGGAAUUUCCUGUGUAGCGGUGAAAUGCGUAGAUAUAGGAAGGAACACCAGUGGCGAAGGCGACUACCUGGACUGAUACUGACACUGAGGUGCGAAAGCGUGGGGAGCAAACAGGAUUAGAUACCCUUGUAGUCC
RNAcentral lists this ribosomal RNA (450 nucleotides) under uncultured bacterium. RNAcentral describes it as "bacterial SSU rRNA". It matches the Rfam family "Bacterial small subunit ribosomal RNA", at positions 354 to 796 of the family's 1533-position model. The record is from RNAcentral.